UGUGCAUUGCUCUAUGCAGCAGCACCAGAUCACUCAGUUCAAUGAAAAAGACUACGGUUACAAUUUGGACCAAAGUCAUAUUUUGAAAUAUAAAAGUUCCUAGAUUUUACAUAUAUUUUAAGUUCUAUCCCAGGGCUUCAGUCUGUAAGUAUUUAAAGCACAGAGUGCUUAAUUCUCUGAGACAUAAUUUCCCACUUGCAAAAAUUUAC
RNAcentral lists this long non-coding RNA (209 nucleotides) under Anser brachyrhynchus (Pink-footed goose). RNAcentral describes it as "lncRNA (ENSABRG00000003009.1)". The record is from RNAcentral. Lineage: Eukaryota; Metazoa; Chordata; Aves; Anseriformes; Anatidae.